AUUGAACGCUGGCGGCAUGCCUUACACAUGCAAGUCGAACGGCAGCACGGGUGCUUGCCCCUGGUGGCGAGUGGCGAACGGGUGAGUAAUACAUCGGAACAUGUCCUGUAGUGGGGGAUAGCCCGGCGAAAGCCGGAUUAAUACCGCAUACGAUCUACGGACGAAAGCGGGGGGCCUUCGGGGCUCGCGCUGUAGGGUUGGCCGAUGGGUGAUUGGCUCGUUUGGGGGGUGAAGGCCUACCAAGGCGACGAGCAGUAGCGGGUCUGAGAGGAGGACCAGCCACACUGGGACUGAGACACGGCCCAGACUCCUACGGGAGGCAGCAGUGGGGAAUUUUGGACAAUGGGCGAAAGCCUGAUCCAGCAAUGCCGCGUGUGUGAAGAAGGCCUUCGGGUUGUAAAGAACUUUUGUCCGGAAAGAAAUCCUUGGCCCUAAUACGGUCGGGGGAUGACGGUACCGGAAGAAUAAGCACCGGCUAACUACGUG
This 486-nucleotide ribosomal RNA is filed under the name uncultured bacterium. Its description in RNAcentral is "partial 16S ribosomal RNA". It matches the Rfam family "Bacterial small subunit ribosomal RNA", at positions 29 to 507 of the family's 1533-position model. The record is from RNAcentral.